Molecule: transfer RNA, 71 nt
Filed under: Luciocephalus pulcher (pikehead)
Lineage: Eukaryota; Metazoa; Chordata; Actinopteri; Anabantiformes; Osphronemidae
Also listed under: 1 other name
Description: tRNA-Val
Rfam family: tRNA
About the family: Transfer RNA (tRNA) molecules are approximately 80 nucleotides in length. Their secondary structure includes four short double-helical elements and three loops (D, anti-codon, and T loops).
Source: RNAcentral
CAAAGUGUAGCUAAAUAGUAAAGCAUCUCCCUUACACCGAGAAAAUAUCCGUGCAAAUCGAAUCACUUUGA